Long non-coding RNA from Sander lucioperca (pikeperch), 937 nucleotides. RefSeq lists it as uncharacterized. The record is from RefSeq and is a predicted model, not a curated record. The transcript has 2 exons. Lineage: Eukaryota; Metazoa; Chordata; Actinopteri; Perciformes; Percidae.
GUCUUUGGUCGAGAUGACACCCGUGCUCAAAAUAUCUUGUGAUGGUAGAAAGGAGCUGUGACAAGUGCAGCUGGAGAGAUUAGCUAGAGUCAAAGAGAGUGAAGUUUGUUGACAGGAGAACUGUGAGAGAUAGAGGCUGAGGGUGGUCUUAAAUACUCUUCUCAGACACAUACAUCAUCAUACUUCCUGUGAUUAAGGGAAUUUCUUUGAGACUGGAAAGUGAAACUUCAAAAACCACAAAAAAAACCCUACUCACUCAUUCCACUCGUCUUUUCCUGUGGCUACUAAUAAUUUAACCAGAUUUAAGAUUUUUUAACUACAUUUUAAUAUCAUGUAUGAGAAUAAGAAUAUAAAGAUAAGUGUAACUUGUUGGAACUGUAAACCUGCAACUUAACAUUGACAUCAAACUUGUACACACUAUUUGUGUAAAUUGCCACGUGACCUAUGCACAAAUGUUUUUAGACAUUUGCACACUUUAUUCAUUUUUGAUAAUAUGAAGAACAAAGAUCCAAAAAAAUGGGUCAUGUAGAAAUUAUUUUAAAAAAAAAAUAUCUAGGGUAAUGAUUGCAUUGUGGUCACCUGUGUUGUUAUUUCCACUUUUUAUGUAUUUGCAAUAUAAAGUUAACACAAAGCUUCUGUCUAAUGAGUACAAUGUUUGUAAGUUACAUUUGUGUCUCCCUGUAGAGUGCAUGUAAGUAGAUGGUGUUCAUACACGUAUCUCAUUUUAAACAAACAAAGCAAUCAGCAAAGACCCAACUGAAUGUGUCUUAGUGACAAUAAAAUUCCAUAAUGUAAAAAAAAAGACAUUAAAUCAUUUUCAUUGUAUCAUGUUGUUAUGUCCCUUCUGUCACAAUCAGGAAAAAAAGCAAAAUAUAAAAAAUGCUGAAUCAUUUGACAUGUCAGUACACGAGAGUGCUAAUCCUCCAUUUCUAAUAGA